CAACCCUCGAACCCCUCCGGGGGUCCGGCGUUGGGGAUCGGCCCUUUACCGGCCGGCCCCGAAAUACAGUGGCGGUCUCGCCGCAGCCUCUCCUGCGCAGUAGUUUGCACACUCGCAUCGGGAGCGCGGCGCGUCCACGCCCGUAAAACACCCAACUUCUGAAAUG
RNAcentral lists this ribosomal RNA (166 nucleotides) under Trichoderma piluliferum. RNAcentral describes it as "internal transcribed spacer 2 (ITS2)". The record is from RNAcentral. Lineage: Eukaryota; Fungi; Ascomycota; Sordariomycetes; Hypocreales; Hypocreaceae.